Molecule: ribosomal RNA, 253 nt
Filed under: uncultured bacterium
Lineage: Bacteria
Description: partial 16S ribosomal RNA
Rfam family: Bacterial small subunit ribosomal RNA
Source: RNAcentral
UACGAAGGGGGCUAGCGUUGUUCGGAAUUACUGGGCGUAAAGCGUGCGCAGGCGGCUUCUCAAGUCAGGGGUGAAAGCCCAGAGCUCAACUCUGGAAUUGCCUUUGAGACUGAGUGGCUUGAGUACGAGAGAGGUGAGUGGAAUUCCCAGUGUAGAGGUGAAAUUCGUAGAUAUUGGGAAGAACACCGGUGGCGAAGGCGGCCAUCUGGACCGCAACUGACGCUGAGGCGCGAAAGCCAGGGGAGCGAACGGG